GAAAUCGUUACGAAAUCGUUAAGAAAUUGUUACGAAAUUGUUACGAAAUUGUUACGAAAUCGUUAAGAAAUCGUUACGAAAUCGUUACGAAAUCGUUAAGAAAUCGCUAUGAAAGCAUCAUAAGUAUAGCUAUAUAGUGAAUAUAUAUAUGUACGAUUAAGCUCACUUAUAUACAGCAUACUAUGUACAUACAUACAUGCAUGUACCCAUGCCAACCAACUACAUACACGUCACGUAGCCAUACUCUGCAAUGAAAUGAAAAGCAGAGAAAUACUGUUUUCUUUAAAGUACUUUCAAGCUAAAAGAGCUAUCACUACUACAAGUAGAAUAAAGUAUACCAACAAAAAAAACACUGAUGCUAUCAUAGAACAUAUUCCCCGUUCCGUCAAAAAUACUAGCUAUAUAUCACCUUAUUCUGUAUAUGAUGAAAAAAAUGAAAGUACAAAUAGAAAAAAAAAACAUAUUUUUGAACUAUUAAUGAAUACAAUAAAAAAUCGAGCUGAAGAACAUAAUGUUAUCAAAAUAAAAGAAUGCCAAAAUAAAAUUUUAAUAAAUUUAAAUAACUUCAACAUAAAUGAAGUAAUAUCAACAUUAAUCUUUUCUUUUCAAUAUAAUUUACUAAACUCAAAAUUAUUAUUAACAAUAUCCGAUUACCUAUUUGAACAUUCUUGUUUUUUAAAUAGUAAGCAUUUAUAUAUUUUAAUCCUAAUAACAAAACAAAUACAAUUAGAUAAUACCAACAUUUUGUUAAAUAAUAAAAAAAAAAUUAAUACAUAUAAUUCAAAAAAAAAUCAUUACUUGCAACAUGUUAAUGAAAAUAUAAACUGGAAAAAAAAACUUUUAAAAGAUAUACAAAAAAAUUUAUUGUGUGAUAAAAACGAGAAUGCAAUUUUUUUGAGUAAACAAGGUAUUGCUGAUGAUAUAUAUGAUGACGGUUUAUCUGACGAUGCAUAUACUGGAAACACACAGAACCCUGAUCAACGUGAUACUCCAUUAAACCAAAGUGCCUAUAACAUUACAAUCGAAUUGUUACAAAAAAAUGCAAAAAUAAACGACACAAACAACUUAGCUAAAGUUGAUAAUAUAUUAAAUAAUCAAACUUGUGAAAUAACAAAUUUGUUGUAUACUAAUAAAACUGAUGAUCUAAUAAACGAUUCCCAAAAAACAUAUAUAAAAAUAAAAAACAUUUUAUAUAAUAAUUAUAAUAAUAUUUAUCGUAAUUUACAAAACAAUAUAUACACAAAUUUAUCAUUAUUAAAUUAUUUAUACGAAGAAAAUAUAAUUACAAAAAAAGACUUUUUAAAAAUUAUUUAUAAUAUAAAUAUACAGUUCGAUCAACUCUUUUUUUCUAAUAAUAACAGUAAUAACAUAUAUAUGUUUCAAAACAAAACUUAUUCUGAUGCUAUAAUGAACUCAUAUAUU
This 1422-nucleotide long non-coding RNA is filed under the name Piliocolobus tephrosceles (Ugandan red Colobus). RNAcentral describes it as "lncRNA (ENSPTEG00000009186.1)". Lineage: Eukaryota; Metazoa; Chordata; Mammalia; Primates; Cercopithecidae. The record is from RNAcentral.